GGUUAAGCGACUAAGCGUACACGGUGGAUGCCCUGGCAGUCAGAGGCGAUGAAGGACGUGCUAAUCUGCGAAAAGCGUCGGUAAGGUGAUAUGAACCGUUAUAACCGGCGAUGUCCGAAUGGGGAAACCCAGUGUGAUUCGUCACACUAUCGUUAACUGAAUACAUAGGUUAACGAGGCGAACCGGGGGAACUGAAACAUCUAAGUACCCCGAGGAAAAGAAAUCAACCGAGAUUCCCCCAGUAGCGGCGAGCGAACGGGGAGCAGCCCAGAGUCUGAAUCAGCUUGUGUGUUAGUGGAACGGUCUGGAAAGUCCGACGGUACAGGGUGAUAGUCCCGUACACCAAAAUGCACAGGUUGUGAACUCGAAGAGUAGGGCGGGACACGUGGUAUCCUGUCUGAAUAUGGGGGGACCAUCCUCCAAGGCUAAAUAUUCCUGACUGACCGAUAGUGAACCAGUACCGUGAGGGAAAGGCGAAAAGAACCCCGGCGAGGGGAGUGAAAAAGAACCUGAAACCGUGUACGUACAAGCAGUGGGAGCACCUUCGGGUGUGACUGCGUACCUUUUGUAUAAUGGGUCAGCGACUUAUAUUCUGUAGCAAGGUUAACCGUAUAGGGGAGCCGCAGGGAAACCGAGUCUUAACUGGGCGUUAAGUUGCAGGGUAUAGACCCGAAACCCGGUGAUCUAGCCAUGGGCAGGUUGAAGGUUGGGUAACACUAACUGGAGGACCGAACCGACUAAUGUUGAAAAAUUAGCGGAUGACUUGUGGCUGGGGGUGAAAGGCCAAUCAAACCGGGAGAUAGCUGGUUCUCCCCGAAAGCUAUUUAGGUAGCGCCUCGUGAACUCAUCUUCGGGGGUAGAGCACUGUUUCGGCUAGGGGGUCAUCCCGACUUACCAACCCGAUGCAAACUACGAAUACCGAAGAAUGUUAUCACGGGAGACACACGGCGGGUGCUAACGUCCGUCGUGAAGAGGGAAACAACCCAGACCGCCAGCUAAGGUCCCAAAGUCAUGGUUAAGUGGGAAACGAUGUGGGAAGGCACAGACAGCCAGGAUGUUGGCUUAGAAGCAGCCAUCAUUUAAAGAAAGCGUAAUAGCUCACUGGUCGAGUCGGCCUGCGCGGAAGAUGUAACGGGGCUAAACCAUGCACCGAAGCUGCGGCAGCGACACUAUGUGUUGUUGGGUAGGGGAGCGUUCUGUAAGCCUGCGAAGGUGUGCUGUGAGGCAUGCUGGAGGUAUCAGAAGUGCGAAUGCUGACAUAAGUAACGAUAAAGCGGGUGAAAAGCCCGCUCGCCGGAAGACCAAGGGUUCCUGUCCAACGUUAAUCGGGGCAGGGUGAGUCGACCCCUAAGGCGAGGCCGAAAGGCGUAGUCGAUGGGAAACAGGUUAAUAUUCCUGUACUUGGUGUUACUGCGAAGGGGGGACGGAGAAGGCUAUGUUAGCCGGGCGACGGUUGUCCCGGUUUAAGCAUGUAGGCUGGUUGUCCAGGCAAAUCCGGAUAAUCAAGGCUGAGGUGUGAUGACGAGGCACUACGGUGCUGAAGUAACAAAUGCCCUGCUUCCAGGAAAAGCCUCUAAGCAUCAGGUAACAUUAAAUCGUACCCCAAACCGACACAGGUGGUCAGGUAGAGAAUACCAAGGCGCUUGAGAGAACUCGGGUGAAGGAACUAGGCAAAAUGGUGCCGUAACUUCGGGAGAAGGCACGCUGGUGUGUAGGUGAAGCCCCUGCGGGUGGAGCUGAGACCAGUCGAAGAUACCAGCUGGCUGCAACUGUUUAUUAAAAACACAGCACUGUGCAAACACGAAAGUGGACGUAUACGGUGUGACGCCUGCCCGGUGCCGGAAGGUUAAUUGAUGGGGUUAUCCGUAAGGAGAAGCUCUUGAUCGAAGCCCCGGUAAACGGCGGCCGUAACUAUAACGGUCCUAAGGUAGCGAAAUUCCUUGUCGGGUAAGUUCCGACCUGCACGAAUGGCGUAAUGAUGGCCAGGCUGUCUCCACCCGAGACUCAGUGAAAUUGAACUCGCUGUGAAGAUGCAGUGUACCCGCGGCAAGACGGAAAGACCCCGUGAACCUUUACUAUAGCUUGACACUGAACAUUGAGCCUUGAUGUGUAGGAUAGGUGGGAGGCUUUGAAGCGUGGACGCCAGUCUGCGUGGAGCCAACCUUGAAAUACCACCCUUUAAUGUUUGAUGUUCUAACGUUGGCCCCUGACCGGGGUUGCGGACAGUGUCUGGUGGGUAGUUUGACUGGGGCGGUCUCCUCCCAAAGCGUAACGGAGGAGCACGAAGGUUAGCUAAUCCUGGUCGGACAUCAGGAGGUUAGUGCAAUGGCAUAAGCUAGCUUGACUGCGAGCGUGACGGCGCGAGCAGGUGCGAAAGCAGGUCAUAGUGAUCCGGUGGUUCUGAAUGGAAGGGCCAUCGCUCAACGGAUAAAAGGUACUCCGGGGAUAACAGGCUGAUACCGCCCAAGAGUUCAUAUCGACGGCGGUGUUUGGCACCUCGAUGUCGGCUCAUCACAUCCUGGGGCUGAAGUAGGUCCCAAGGGUAUGGCUGUUCGCCAUUUAAAGUGGUACGCGAGCUGGGUUUAGAACGUCGUGAGACAGUUCGGUCCCUAUCUGCCGUGGGCGCUGGAGAAUUGAGGGGGGCUGCUCCUAGUACGAGAGGACCGGAGUGGACGCAUCACUGGUGUUCGGGUUGUCAUGCCAAUGGCACUGCCCGGUAGCUAAAUGCGGAAGAGAUAAGUGCUGAAAGCAUCUAAGCACGAAACUUGCCCCGAGAUGAGUUCUCCCUGAGACUUUAAGUCUCCUGAAGGAACGUUAAAGACGAUGACGUUGAUAGGCCGGGUGUGUAAGCGCAGCGAUGCGUUGAGCUAACCGGUACUAAUGAACCGUGAGGCUUAACCUU
RNAcentral lists this ribosomal RNA (2902 nucleotides) under Klebsiella pneumoniae. Its description in RNAcentral is "23S ribosomal RNA". It matches the Rfam family "Bacterial large subunit ribosomal RNA". Lineage: Bacteria; Pseudomonadati; Pseudomonadota; Gammaproteobacteria; Enterobacterales; Enterobacteriaceae. The record is from RNAcentral.